UACGGGGGGGGCUAGCGUUGCUCGGAAUCACUGGGCGUAAAGCGCACGUAGGCGGAUCUUUAAGUCAGGGGUGAAAUCCCAAGGCUCAACCUUGGAACUGCCUUUGAUACUGGGGAUCUCGAGUCCGGAAGAGGUGAGUGGAACUGCGAGUGUAGAGGUGAAAUUCGUAGAUAUUCGCAAGAACACCAGUGGCGAAGGCGGCUCACUGGUCCGGUACUGACGCUGAGGUGCGAAAGCGUGGGGAGCAAACAGG
RNAcentral lists this ribosomal RNA (253 nucleotides) under uncultured bacterium. RNAcentral's name for it is "partial 16S ribosomal RNA". It matches the Rfam family "Bacterial small subunit ribosomal RNA", at positions 524 to 776 of the family's 1533-position model. The record is from RNAcentral.